RNAcentral lists this ribosomal RNA (446 nucleotides) under uncultured bacterium. RNAcentral's name for it is "bacterial SSU rRNA". It matches the Rfam family "Bacterial small subunit ribosomal RNA", at positions 330 to 794 of the family's 1533-position model. The record is from RNAcentral.
ACCAGACUCCUACGGGAGGCAGCAGUGGGGGAUAUUGCACAAUGGGGGGAACCCUGAUGCAGCGACGCCGCGUGGGUGAAGAAGCGCCUCGGCGCGUAAAGCCCUGUCAGCAGGGAAGAAAAUGACGGUACCUGAAGAAGAAGCCCCGGCUAACUACGUGCCAGCAGCCGCGGUAAUACGUAGGGGGCAAGCGUUAUCCGGAUUUACUGGGUGUAAAGGGGGCGCAGACGGCGAUGCAAGCCAGGAGUGAAAGCCCGGGGCCCAACCCCGGGACUGCUCUUGGAACUGCGUGGCUGGAGUGCAGGAGGGGCAGGCGGAAUUCCUGGUGUAGCGGUGAAAUGCGUAGAUAUCAGGAGGAACACCGGUGGCGAAGGCGGCCUGCUGGACUGCAACUGACGUUGAGGCCCGAAAGCGUGGGGAGCAAACAGGAUUAGAUACCCCGUAGU